This 446-nucleotide long non-coding RNA is filed under the name Mytilus galloprovincialis (Mediterranean mussel). The record is from RNAcentral. Lineage: Eukaryota; Metazoa; Mollusca; Bivalvia; Mytilida; Mytilidae.
GUGGAAAAACCAUUUGCAUCAAUCUUUUUCAUUAAUAUAUUCAAAGCUUCUGAGUAACACAGACUAUAUCACUUCUUUUUCAUGUGAAUGCUUGAAAAAAUAUUGGUAAAACUUACCUUUACCAAAAUUAAAAUGAUUUUAAACAUGAUUUUGAUAAACCUGUAUUUUGUUUAUUUUCUGCUAAUAUAGUGGACUGGUUUGCACAAAUUCAAUUGAAGUUAGAUGUUGUUUUAAUGUAAUCAUUGAAAAAUCAAUGAAUUUUUGUAGAACCCAGUCCUGUUUUUGCUUUGAUUUGCAGUUUGUAACCAAGCAAGAUGCUUUUUGCUGUUUUUCUGUGAUAGAUUUGUGGUUUUCCAUUCUGUGUUGUGGUUUAAUUUAAUUUAAUUUAUUUAGUAUUUUUAUUUUAAGUUGUGAGUUUCUUAAAUUUAUACAGCAUAAGUCAUACA